CUGUUUCACACGGAUCAGCUCAGUCAGAGGAAUCGACUCCUCCUGUUCAGUGAACUGAAUCCAUUCAAAAGAAUGAUUCGUUCAUAAACCGGACAUCACUAGCAAGGAAUAAUCAAGGGGGGGCAAUUGCCCCCCUGUAGCGACGCAGCCUAUCAAGU
Bufo bufo (common toad) is the source of this 158-nucleotide long non-coding RNA. RefSeq lists it as uncharacterized. NCBI's taxonomy places the organism in Eukaryota, Metazoa, Chordata, Amphibia, Anura, Bufonidae. The transcript is spliced from 3 exons. The record is from RefSeq and is a predicted model, not a curated record.